Molecule: small RNA, 296 nt
Filed under: Vigna angularis var. angularis
Lineage: Eukaryota; Viridiplantae; Streptophyta; Magnoliopsida; Fabales; Fabaceae
Description: Non-protein coding transcript
Source: RNAcentral
AGCCAUGGGAGGGAAGGGUAUUUUGCACCAAGAGAAGAGAAAUCAAGUGAGAGAAAGUUAGAGAGAAAUUUUUAGUUGCAAGAAGGGUAGAGGUUCUGAAAGGUUUCGAAGAAAUAAAUUCAGAGCAAGAGACGUCUGGAAUAGAGAUGAAGGAAUGUCGUCUGAUCCAAUGCCAAUGAAGAGAGAGACAGAAGAAUAAGUUAGAAGAAUUCGAAUUAUAUUUAUGAGUUUAUAGUUGAAAUAUGAAUUUAAAACAUGUGUAGACAUAUAUUAACUAUGCAUUUAUAAGUGUGAGA